GGCCCAGCCUAGUCACGAGGCUCUCCGCUCUGGCACCUCGCGCCGCAUCCUGAAACGUCGCUUUCUUCCCUAAAAAAAAUGUCGCUCUCCCCUUCCUCCAUCGCCUCCAGCUCCAGUGCUCCAUCCGCCAUCGCCUCCAGUGUUCCCUCCGUCAUCGCCGGCGCACGGCACUGACCGGAAAACACGCUCUCAGAUAGGCGCCAGCACCGCCGCCGCUUCCAGGUUCGGAGCGCCCUUGACCGGCAGCCGGCCUCCAUUGCCCCGGCCAGGUCGCAGGUGUAGCUCCAAGAACAGGUGUUUUGUGGCGUGUAUUGAUGACCAAUAGCGAAUACGAGUAUGUGAAGAGGGAAUUCGAGUUCGACCGUCACCUCCCAGCCUCCAACUGGAUCAUUGUGCGCUUCGAUGGCUGUCAUUUCCACCGUUUUGUUUUCAGAGGGGACAUAAUUCUAUCACAGAUUUCUCUACCAAUAAUUGCAGCAAAAUUCUCUCUUUGUGUGUUUCUUACUUCACAUCUGUGUAUGUGAUGAAGUGGAAAGAUUUCUUUCCCAAAUAAAGAGUUGAGAGAGGCUCCAUAUUUUGAUGGGCGAGUUGUCUGCUAUCCAAAUAUGAAGACGAUUCAUGAUUAUUUGGCAUGGAGGCAACUGGACUGCCACAACAGGAUCCAGUACAAGACAUGCUUUUGGAUGCUAGUGAAGUCCCGAAAGGGCGAAAACGAAGCUUACGAUAUGCUGAAGUCUUCUUUCAUCAUCUACGUCAAAGGACAAGAAUGAGCUGCUCUUUCAGCCGUUUGAAAUGAACUACAACAACGAACCGGCCAUGUACUGAAAGGCUUCAUGUGCUUACCGUGUAAAGGUAUGUUUACCAUCAUCCAAGAACGAUUUUCAACAACAAUGCUGUUUGUGCUGCAGUUUCAUAUUAAGCAUUCCAAAAUAAAAUGUAGCGAUGCUGAAGAAACAAGAUUUACUUUGCCUAAUAAAAGAUCAAAGUAUUUUCUUUUCCAACCCUGUAUGUAUUACGAUGAUGGGUUGUGCGGAGCGGCUUAUAGCUGUGCGGGGCGAGUAGGUGGUGGCUCAGGGCAUGGUAGUGCAGCAUCGGUGGUGGCCUGCGGUGCAUCUUCUCCUUCCGCAGCGUCCGGGAAGACGACGGGAUCCGGCAGUCUGCUGGGUACCCUGCUUAGCACCCCAGGCACAGCCCGCGUGCGGUGCUGCUGGAGCUAGUCAUCCCCCGGCGUCGCUUCCUGGCAUCUUCGCGUGGGUGCUGCGUCCGGUCCUUGGUCCUGUGCACCCACCUCGCCUGGAGCGGAGGGAGUCCUGCGGGCACCAGAUGUGCGCAGCAGCAGCCUUGUCUUCGCCACCGAUUGCGUGCACCAGCUCAUCCCCACCCACGCCUGCUUCGUGUCUCUCCCGCUCUCCCGCGUCGACAUGUUAUCCGUUCCAUAACCUCCAGAUGCCUCUGAAAAUAUGGCAUGCUGUCGUCGAAGCGCCAGCCCACGGCCUCCCGCUCCAGUGUGGAGGCAGAGUACCGUAGCGUGGCCAACGCCGUGGCCGAGUGUGUCUGGCUUCGACAACUCCUCGGCGAGCUCCGCUGCGCGGUCACCACUGCAACGCUGGUCUACUGCGACAACAUCUCCGCCGUGUACCUAUCCAGCAACCCCGUUCACCACCGUGACACCAAGCAUGUCGAGCGAGAGACAAGAGGAUGAGAGUUUGACCCGAGCUGGUGCGGUGGGAUAGUUUUGAUCCAGCGAAAAUGAUGCUGAGUCGUCCGAUCGCGUUCAACGGCCUGGAUCAAAACCCUAGCUGCCAACGGGCUUUUCGGGCCGAAAGUGCAAGCGGGCAGCAGCCGCCGCGCGCGCUGUCGCUGGGCCGAGGACACGGCCGCGGGCGGCCCAGGCCGGGUCGAGGCAUUUCGCGAGGCACGGCGCGCAGGGCAGGCCGUGGGCCGGCUUUUUCCGCUGCGGGCCGAGCGCGCUGGGCCAGCUGCGUUUUCUAUUUUGUUUUUUGUUAUUUGUCCAGUUUUCUGGGCAGAUUUCAAAUAGUUUUUCUAUGCAAAUUUUUCAACGAAAAUUUUGUUUAGACAAUAAAAAAGUAAACAGAAAAAUAGAAAAGUUUCUGAAAAUAAAAUAAAAAUGAAAAUAGAAAAUUUUCAGAAAAAGAAAUGUUCAUGAAUCUUAUAAAGAGAAUAAUAAAGUUUAUGAAUUAUUUUUUUAGUAAAAGAAUUUGUUUCUGAAAAGAAUAAAGUCCAUGAAUUUUGUAUUCAUGUUUUCCGCUGCAAAAUAAAAAUUGUUCUUUUAGAAGUGAAUAGAAUUAAAGUAAAAGAUUAAAAUGUUGCUUCUCGAAUGCAUUUUUGAACCAACAGGUUAAAAUUGCUUAGAGAGUAAAAGAGUACAGAAUUAUUUCUGAAUAGAAUAUUGUAAAGUUUUCGCUGCAUGGUAAAAGUUUUAUCCUCCAAUUAAAUUGGAACCAACGGGAAAACUUAAUUGGAAGAACUGUUUUUAGCAUUGUUUUUCCCUUGUGGGUGAAAUAAGAUGCAGAUAGUUUCCGCUAUGACAAUAGAAAGAUAUUUGUUUUAAAGUUAAAAUAUGGUAUUGUUAUUUUCUUACUAACGUUGAUGAUAACAGUACUAUAAUUCUAUGAGUCUUAUGUUCAAAGCUUAAAUCUCUGAUAAAUUUUGUAUCAAAGUGAUCAUUUUUUAGAGAAGAGUUAAAGAUGAAGAAAUGCUCUUGAACUAGAGGAACGUAUAUUUCUUAUUUCCGCUGCAAUAAAGUUGAUGAUGAUGAUUAUUUCUUAGCAAAGUUGUUUAAUAGAAAUACUAUCAUCACAUUGUUUAUGAGUUAUAUGCAUUAUUUCCAUUUUCGUCCAACGGUGAUAUGGAAUUAAUGUAGAAGAAUGAGUUUUAUUCUAAUUCUACCACAACGGUGAUUUAGAGUAUAAAAAGGAAGUUUUAAAAAGUUUAAUGUGCAUAUUUUUUAACCAGACCAACGUAGGGUUAUUUUUUAUGCUCAUUAUUGUUGAUUAUUGGCUAAGUUUUCUCAGACUAAAAGUUUUCCAUGCUUUCGUUCGUGAAAGCGAAUGGCUGGGUACUUGUUACCCGAAAGAUGACCAAGAAAGGUCAUAACGUGAGGGAGUAUGUUCUCUCUAAAGAAUGGCUUCAAAAGAAAAGAAUUCUUGGAUAUUAAUCCAAGAAAAGAAAACAAAUAGAUCAUUGAGAGUCUUGGUUGACGAAUGUCUUUCAUGUAUCCUAUAUGAAGAAGAUUUUUCAGUCAACAUGAUUUGAGAUGAAACAAGCAACAUGCGUGUUUAAUUUGACCAACGUCGGAUUAAGCAUGUGUGUCAAAGAGCGUUCGGAUUUAUUUCUGAAUUUCAUGAUUGCAUAUGCAGUCAAAAGAGCCAAUUCUGGCAUUUAUGUUCCUUACAGGGAAUUACCCGCAUAGCGGGAAAAGAGGAUUAUGAUAAAACCCGCAUGGCGGGGAAAGUCUGGGAAAAUACCUGCGUUACUGGGUAAAGUUGACAUAGUAUUAUGUCAAAAAUCCUAUACGUCAGGAGAAAUUUUGGCUAAGACUUAUCCUGUGUGACAGGAGAAAGAUAUGAUGACUCAUGUGCGUUUAAUGUGUCCCACUCUGGGAGAAAAGUAUGGAGUAGCUAUUAUGCUUUCCUAGUAUCGACCGUACGCCUUAUGUGUAACGGUCAUUAAGCACUCAAUAAAUCCAAAGAGAAUAAAAGUUACAAACGAACCUAAAGAUAAGAAUGAUAUGCAAGUGUGACUUGCAAAAGUACUAAUGAUAAAGAACUAUUUUGAGUUUCCGAAAUGGAAUGAGGAAUAAGGAAAAAGCUCCCAUACCGUUAACAGAUAAAUUCAUUACAUAUGAAGUAAUCAGAUACAUGAAGUAGAUACUCAAAGUUUCCUCAAUUCACAAGAGUUGUGAAUGGUUUUUCGAAAUUGUGGCAGAAAAGUCCUUGCCACAUUUCGAGGGGGAGAAAGAAAUAUGAGAUAUCCAUUAAUGAAGAAUGUGAUCAUCUGGGGGAGUACGACGAUCAUAAUAAUAUCCCUAAAGAAAAGAAAUAGAUGUAUUCCUGGAUCUUUUACAGUUCCGAAAGCAGACUAAGGAAUACUAAGACGGUGCUUAAAGUGCCAUAAAGAAGAAAGUUUUAACAGAAUAAACCCAAAUAAUAAAGUUUAAAGAUACGCCAUUUUUAGUAAAGAUGGAGUAAUCUGGGGGAGCAUGGUAUGAAAAUACCUAAGACUCGAAUAGAUUGUAUCUGGGGGAGCAUGUUGUAUGACUUAUACAACACCUGUUGUUAGCUCCAUAAAGGAGGAAUGAGUAAACAUGGAUCUUGUGAUACAGGUCCUGUAAUACCUAUUGCUUCUUGGAGAUGAAAGACUAUAGGAUCAAUUUGCCUGUUAGUGGCACAUCAUGAUCGACAUCAUGAUCUGAGUUACAUCAGAUGAAAGUAAAGAACACAAGGGAUACUUCUUCAAGAAGUCUUUUGUGGACUAGAGCAAGUCUCUAGACAGUGGCAUUUAAAGUUAGAAGAAUCAGAUGUUUUUUGGGUUAAAGAAAAUGAGAAGACAAUUGUAUUCAUGCAAAGUUAUAGAACGGGAAAUUUAUUUCCUAAUCCUGUGCAUGUGCAUGACGUCCUACUUGCUAAUGGUGAUGUCAAUCUACUGCAGCAGGAGAAAAGAAGUUCUUGUUCUCAAAGUUCAAAAGAAUGUUCUCAGUAGAGUGACUCUCGUUAUAAUUAUUGAGAUUCACCAAGAAAAAAAAAGGAGGGGGGGGGGGUAUUAGGAGUGUCGCAUGAGCAUACUUUGAAAAGUCUCUAAAAUAUGCAUGUGAGAAAACCUACGCCUGUUCUUAUAGUAAAGGGUAAUGAUUUUGGGAACUUUAGUGUUCCAAGAGUCAAUGUGAAAUAGACCAAAUGAAUAUGGUACCAUAUGCUUCAGCUGUUGGAAGCUUUAUGAAUGCAAAAGUGUAACAUUACCGUGACAUAGUUCACAUAUCCGGGUUGUUUUGGCAAUGUCCAGUACAUAUUUAAAUUGAUGUAAUGGAGUCAAAGAUAUCAGCCUCAUGCUGAAAGAAACAAGUGCUCUCAAAAGGUUGUGAGUACAAAGAUAAAAACUUGUGAAAUGUACAGCGAAAUCCACAAUUGUCGUUGACCUUCACAUUAGGAGUUUUUGUGUGGAAGAACUCUAUAGAAUGAAUCAUUUAUCAUCAAUGUGAUGCAAAUAUAAAGUAUAGCAUGAUAUGAGGCUGAGGGACAGGCAAAAUCGUUAUGGAAACCUGUACCCGGAGUUGAUAAUGGUUGACAGCAGCGAUAACCAUUUAAGUAAUUCACUCCUAUGACAACGAGUCAAGUGUGGUGCCAAACACAUUGACACAAAGUUGUACGUUGUUAAGGAGAAAAGUCCGGAAUUAUGUUGAAAUGCUUGGAGCAUAAAAGCAACAAACAAGUUUUUGCAGAUCUGCUUAUUAAAGGCUUACCGCCCAGUGUGUUUGGAGAACACACAAUCGACAUGGGUUUUAUGGUAUAGUCUAAAAUUUCCGGACAAUAAAAGGGCCCAAGGUUAAAGAAUUUGUUUCAAAACUGAGAGGUACGUUGUGGCUGUCUGAUUCUAUCGGCAAUUGAGCUGUGACGAUGAAACAUGUUCUAUGUACUGAUCUUUUAUGAAACGAGUAAAGUAAAAGUAUAAGGUCAAAAGUAAAAGUUGAGAUCAAGGGGGAGAAUGUUAGGAUGAUCUCCACCGUGUGGGCCCAACGGCCCACCGGGCCCUUAGAUCCGCGCCCUGAUCGGGGGCGCUCAACCCACUAUGGUUGACGGCCCCCAGUCACCUGCACUAUAUAUAUAAAGAGGUGGGGUAGGCGGCUCGAAUUACGAGGUUCGUCGCAACACCGUACACCCCACCUAAUCCCCUACCGAUCUAGGGUUAGUGCAGUGCUGAUGGGAAGCACCGCCACCGCUACUUUCUGCCAUCACCGGCCGUCACCAUGGACGGCACCGGGAGCUCCUCGCCACAAGGCUAAGGUACACACCGAAUAUAGAUUAUAUCCCACUGAUCUACUCCUAAUUGAUCCAGUAAGUUUAUCAUGACGUACUUAAGAUUCACGUAUUUAAAUAUGUGUGGUCUGGUUAUGUGUAUCAUAUGUCUUUUACCAUUUGAGUUUCACAUUUGAUUCCUUUCAUUUCCAGUGUGAUACAUAAAUGAUUGGGGCUUUCCAAUUUGGUGCUGAAAUUUAAGCAGCCACUUCAAUUUAGUGCUAUUCGGCACUGAGAUGCAAUGUAACCAAUUACAGAGCUUUAAUUCAUGAUAGACGAAAAUCGCAGAAUGGUGCAUGUUGUGAUUAAUCAAGUCAUUGGCUUCCCAACGAUGUAUUAUUGGGUCACUUGUGUAGUGUUUAACAUGCCCAUGGGAAUCAAUCAUGUGAUCCUGUGGCUUUCGUGUUGUUCACCUCACCACAUUUGAUGGAUGUCCAGGAGUGGUUCUGGCUAGAUAGGUAAUUUAUUCACCCAUUGUUCUUGUUCUUAUUUGUUUCUUAUGGUGUUGCUAAGUGUACUCAUAAUUAUUCACAAUUACAUGUAAACAUAUUUUGCCAUCCUUUAAGUUUAUCAUUUUUCCCACUGAAAACUGUAGGGCAAUUAUAACGUUGUCUUUUGUAUUAGUUAUGCGCUUAUCCUGCUAUGUAGGUAUAGGAGUUACAUAUUUCGAAUUCGCGCGUGUUAGUUACACAGGUAAGUUUUGCCUUACAAGUAACAUGCUUUCUAGAAUCUUGCUUCCUUUUUAUCAGUUAUUUUGCACUCCGUCUCACUAGAAUCUUCCUUCCUUUUUGUAAUGACUACGUAUUUUGCACUCCGUCUCACACCUUCUUUUCUUUCAUUGGAUCUUACUCUCAAGUUGUCCAAGGUAAUGAUUUUCAGUAUCUCACUGCCCUUAGGAGGGGCUCAUCACAUUUGCUCCUGAUUCCAUGUUGCCAUUUCUAUACAUUAUUUUUGGUUAAUCAAUUUUUGUUCUUCUGACAAGUGCCACUAUUGGCAACUAUCUUCAGUGCUUCUCAAAUGAUGAUAAUUAAAUAAACCUCCCUUGCAAAGAUGGAAAAGACCAUUUAAUUGUUAAUUAGAAGUUGGGAGAAUAUUGUAACCAUUCGCUGGCAGGUUGAUCAAAGAGUUGUCAUCAUGAUUAUUCGCUUAUUUUAAUAUCAAACAUUUUGAGGUAUAUCAAUCAUGGUAAGUUUCUUAGCCUCUUCACAUUGCACGCAUAAUAUCUUUUGCUUUCCUAGGAAUAUGAUAAAUCCAUGACUAGGAUAAACACUGAUAUGUUGAGAUCCCUACUUUUACUAAUAUCCUACUUCUACUGAUGCCACUUUCAACUGAUAUUUAUUCAUGGCUUAAGAUGAACGAUACAUUAUGCAUUGCAUAUGAACCAUAAUUUUGCUGCAGCUUUAGUUGAUAAUCGACAAUAAAAUAUUUCUAUAGUAAUUUGUUGAAUUCUGGAGUAAGCAUGAAAUGCAUUUGCAUGACCUGAGAUUCGCCAAUGUGCUCCUAUUUUUCAAAUAGGAAGGAAUGAAAAGGUGGUUCAGAAUUGAUGGAUAUUCUCCCCCAUGCUUGUUUACAUGUGGCCAUGUUUGUUGCUUAUAUCUCCAUACUUAUGUGUAUUAAUCAGACAUUUGCUCUUUUCUGUUUGUAGACAACUGGAGUGUGUCCUUUGCAUUCACUGCACAUCAGUGCAGUCCAAAUAUUAUAUGCAAUCAAGAAAAACGGAAAAUAUUAAAUAUUACGAGUCAGAUAUCAGAUGCUGGUGUCAGGCAGUGGGCAAAUGGAGAAUGGAGACGAUGAUGCCGCGGUCCAUGGAGCUGUUCGUGACGCACGAUCACGCGGCGAAGGAGCAAGCGGAUUCUCAGCUGACAUGGUUGCAGCUGGAGGAACACCCCGCGUGGUUGAGCAGGGGCACACUUUUGAGAGGUUCGUGUACUUUGUGAGCACAUUGGACAUGCUGGAGAUGGUGAAUAUAUUCUAUGCUAAAAUGUUUCAUCUAGAUGGGGCUAACAAACGUCAAACCUAACUCAUGCCCAUAUAUAUAUAUCUCAUGUAGUGAACUCUAGAUGGAGCCUUGGUAAUACUUUUGUGUGUGAUAUCCCACGUACUGAAUUUCAAGCCUUCCAAUGCUCUUGUGUCACAUAUAGCUUCUCUUUGUUAGCUUCAUUUCCUUUUGGAUUUGGAUUGUCUAACUGAAUUAUGCUCUGUGUGACUCUAAUCACAUAUACUACUUCCUAUAGUGAAUCUGAUUCUCUGUUGUAUACUAACUGUAUUGGUGCCCAGAGGGCCUGAUAUUUGUUCGUCGUCCGAACAAUCUCACCUACUGACAUAUGGAUUUUCUGACAUUGAUCUUGCCUCUAACUCAAGGCAAUGUUCAUCUUCACAAGUAACAGGCAUAGUAGCGCAGAGGGCUGUGCGAGGAGGCGUGGAAAGGCAUGUUCAACGAGUAAUGAACUCUGUCCGACUAAGACAUGUGCUGGUAUGUAAAAUGGACGCACGUGACGAGUCGGGGCACUCAAACAAGACAAGUGCGCACAGGAACGCUUCAGGAGGUGCGCCUGGGGCGCACCCCAACCACUAGUAGAUGACAAGCAACAAUUGGAUCAUCAAUGAAGGUGUGGCGGCAUGUCGCGUACUACACAUAUCUUGUACUUGUCCUCAAUAGGAUGAUGGUGUCAUAUUUCGUAAGCAAAUUAGUAGGUAGGAGAUCAUAUAUGCAAUUAUUUAUAUGUGCAAAAUAUAUUAGCAUGAGUAGUAGAUACACUUGUAUAGAUAUUGCCUUUUCCAUUUUAGACCUUUUAUAGUUGUAUAUGGGGCAUGAGUUGGUAAACAGUACAUCCUUUUCGUAUGCAUUUUAUUCAUCCCAUCAGUGUUUCUAAAACUACUUUGCUACGUUUUUAUUUAACUACUACUCCCUCCGUCCGAAAAAGCUUAUCCCUAAAAUGGAUGUAUCUAGCACCAAAUUAGUGCUAGAUCCAUCCAUUUGAGGAACAAAUAUGGGACAAGCUUUUUCAGACGGAGGGAGUACUAUAAAAUACUACUCCCUCCGUUUCUACAUAUAAGUUUUUUUUUAAAGAUUUCAAUACGAAUUAGAUAGGUAUGUAUAUAAACGUAUUUUACAAUAUAGAUUCACUCAUUUUUAAACGGACCGAGUACUAAAGUACUGACUUCGGUGGGUGAUCUAUCCUCUGGAUCCAUCCAGAGCUUAUCUCUUCACAUGGAUACACGGUAGCUGACCACAUCCACUUCCAACCUCAUCUCUUCGAGGCAGCUAGUGCUGUAGUCCUUGUUCGUCAAAACUGAGACAAAUGGAGGAAGGCAGGAAGGGUAGGUGAGGUGCUGGUGCUGGCCGCAUGGCUGGUACUGGCCGUUGGGCGACGUAGUGUGGCGGGGCUGGAGGGAGCAGCUGCUGGGUGGUGCUCGGCCUCGACGGCCUGGCCUCGGCCGUUCUUGCCGUCGGCCUCGUCCUCGGCGCCGAUUCUUCCCCAUCCAUGGCGCCAAGCCAAGCGUGUGUUCCUGCUCCUCUUUAUUCCUGUGGCGUCGAUUUCCGCCAGCGCUUUGGUCAAAGCCGAGACAAAUGAAGAUGGAGGUGUAGGGGAGGUGCUGGCCAGAUGGCUCGUAAGCAGCUGAAUCUGACCGCGUCAGUCGGCGGUCGAGCAGACAGCAGCAACUGCGCUGCUCCUGCUCGUUGGAGUGGCGCCCGUGGCAACACCACCGCCGCGGCUGCACCCCUGCCGGCCUCGGGAACCUCCAUGGCUGACCUCACACAGCGCCGCCCCGUUCUGGCCUCAAACGCGCAGUCCCGCGCCAUUCCUCUCCACCUUGCACCGCCGUGGCCUUCACUUGCCUCCUGCCUGUACUCCCAGCCACGGCGACCUCCUCCUCCGUGGUUGAGAACCCCAUCGCCUCGGCUGACCUCUCGUGGGUGCUGCCAUGUUCGAGUAGUACAAGCUCCACUCCGCUCUCCUCGAACGACGCUACCGCCACAACCUCUGCUCCGGCGAGCCCUACGUCCCCUCCUGCAGCUUUCGAAUCACCAUGGCCACGGCCUCGGCGCUGCUCUUCCUCCAUCCAUGGCAAGCGCAGCCAAGCCUGUACCUGCUCCUCGUCUUCACUUCCCUGGCACCUCCAGCAGGCACAUCCCACGAUCUGGCAGACGCCGGAGCUGCGAGGUGGGAGGAGGGGAGGGGGAGGGCUGGCGCGGCGAAGGAGGUCCUGGGCGAGGGAGGCGCGGACGGCGGCGAAGAGAAGGGCCGCCGGGAGUGGUCGCGAGUCGACCACCUCGCAGUCGCCGGGGAUCUGGAGGCCGGCCGGCGGAGAUCACCAUAUCUGUUUUCUAUUUCUAUCAGGCGGCGGAUGCGGUGGGUUGGGGGCGACGGGGGUGUUGCGUCCGUCCGGGUCCUAUGAACGAGCGAUUCGUUUUUUUACUGUACGAAUAUCUUAAAUCGGGAGUGCGGGUUAAUUGCACGAAAUAGCACGGGCUUUUCCGCAAAAAGCACGACGACGGUGAGAGAGCCGGAGUAUAUAUAAAUUAGGGAUUAGGGAUAGGGAUUAGGGAUUAGGGAUUAGGGAAAGAUAGCGGUCCCUUUUAUCCACUAACCAGGAGUAUGAAAUUACCCAAAAUAGGGACAUGUAGUUUUGAUCUCUGUCACAACCUUUUUUUACUCCCUACUAUUUUUUUCCUAAUAUACAUAUGAGAAACAAUUUAUUUUUUUAGUUUUGAUCUCUUUCACAGCCUUUUUCUUAACUCCUACUAAUUUGUUCCCGAUAUAUAUAUACCAUGAGAAAAAAUUUAUUUAUUUAUGGCGGUCACUUUUAUCCUCCAACCAGGAGUGUUAAAAUGCCCAAAAAUAGGAACAUGUAUUUUUUUAUCUAUGUCGCAGCCUUUUUUUUAACUCCUACUAUUUUUCCUGAUAUACAUACGAGAAACAAUUUAUUUAUUUAUUUAUUUAUAGCAGUCACUUUUAUCCUCCAACUAGGAGUAUGAAAAUGCCCAAAAUAGGGACAUGUAGUUUUGAUCACUGUCACAAUCUUUUUUUACCCCCUACUAAUUUUUUCCUGAUAUAUAUACAAGAAACAAUUUAUUAUUUAGUUUUGAUCUCUUUUGCAGCCUUUUUUUUAACUCCUACUAAUUUUUUCCAGAUAUAUACGUAUAUACCAUGAGAAACAGUUUAUUUAUUUAUGGCGGUCAUUUUUAUCCUCCAACCAGGAGUGUUAAAAUGCCCAAAAAUAGGAACAUGUAUUUUUUAUAUAUGCCAUAGUUUUUUAACUCCUACUAUUUUUUCCUGAUAUAUAUACAAGUUAUUUAUUUAUUUAUAGCUGUCACUUUUAUCCUCCAACCAGGAGUAUGAAAAUGCCCAAAAUAGGGACAUGUAGUUUUGAUCUCUGUCACAACCUUGUUUCUACUCCCUACUAAUUUUUCUCUAAUAUAUAUAUGAGAAACAAUUUAUUUAGUUAGUUUUGAUCUCUUUCACAACCUUUUUUUAACUCCUACUAAUUUUUUCCAGAUAUAUAUACACACACCAUGAGAAACAGUUUAUUUAUUUAUGGCGGUCAUUUUUAUCCUCCAACCAAGAGUGUUAAAAGGCCCGAAAUAGGUAUACACAAGAGGGAGAAUUCUGGCAGCUGGAAAUCUGGACCUGGAAAAGCUACGUUAGGCCACCUAUUCU
Molecule: long non-coding RNA, 11695 nt
Organism: Triticum aestivum (bread wheat)
Lineage: Eukaryota; Viridiplantae; Streptophyta; Magnoliopsida; Poales; Poaceae
Exons: 8
Source: RefSeq, a predicted model, not a curated record